UCCACCCUGCCCUACCUCAUGUAGCCCCACAGUCAUCGGUCUCUUCCCUCUCUGUGUCUCACUGUCCUCAUGCUGAUGUUCGGUGGGCACAGCAUUUGCUUUCAGGGAUGUUUGGACUCUUCAGGAUUAGGGGAUGGCUGUUGUAAAGCAUGGUACUGACUGCCCAGAGGUGAAGGUUUUUCUCAAUGCCUGCUGUUUUGGGGCAGGGAUGGCUGUUUUUUGAAAGAAGCAGAGGUGAUGCUGCUCCUCCAGGACGUACAUUGCUGCUGCCAUGGGCAGGCAGCCUCUUUCUGUACAAUAUAAAUCUGCCAGUGCUUGCACAUGCUGUCAGCUGGGAUGUUGUGCAUCCUUAUGCAUCAG
This is a long non-coding RNA of Cygnus olor (mute swan), 360 nucleotides long. RefSeq lists it as uncharacterized. The record is from RefSeq and is a predicted model, not a curated record. The transcript has 3 exons. Lineage: Eukaryota; Metazoa; Chordata; Aves; Anseriformes; Anatidae.